AAACCAAAUGGCUGCAGUAACUAUGACUGUAUUAAUGUAGCAUAAUCAAUCGCCACUUAAUUAGUGGAUAGUAUGAAUGGUUUAACGAAAAUUCCCCUAUCUCAUAUAAUCAAUAGAAAAUUUAAAUCAUAGUCAAGAUGCUAUGUAAUAUUGUAAGACGAAAAGACCCUAUAAAGCUUAACUACAAUCUUUUAAAACUUAAAUAAACUAAAAAUAAAAUAAAAGACGGCUAGUUUCAUUGGGGCGAUGAUCUCUAAAAAAAAACAGAGACUAACGAUAUUAAUAAUUUUAAUUUACUGUUUAAUAUAUUAAUUUAACAGUUACAAAGUAGGUUAUAAAGACCCAUUAUUAAAAAAAAAAACAAAUAAUGAUCAAAAAAUAAAAGCUACUUUAGGGAUAACAGGAUAAUACUUUCUAAGAGCCCUUAUCGAAGAAAGAGUUUAUCACCUCGAUGUUGAAUUGAGAUACCCCAGUGAUGCAGA
This 482-nucleotide ribosomal RNA is filed under the name Macrorhynchia sp. BP-2016. RNAcentral's name for it is "partial 16S ribosomal RNA". It matches the Rfam family "Bacterial large subunit ribosomal RNA", at positions 1915 to 2559 of the family's 2925-position model. The record is from RNAcentral. Lineage: Eukaryota; Metazoa; Cnidaria; Hydrozoa; Leptothecata; Aglaopheniidae.